AACGAACGCUGGCGGCAUGCCUAACACAUGCAAGUCGAACGAGACCUUCGGGUCUAGUGGCGCACGGGUGCGUAACGCGUGGGAAUCUGCCCUUGGGUUCGGAAUAACAGCGAGAAAUUGCUGCUAAUACCGGAUGAUGACGUAAGUCCAAAGAUUUAUCGCCCAAGGAUGAGCCCGCGUAGGAUUAGCUAGUUGGUGAGGUAAAGGCUCACCAAGGCGACGAUCCUUAGCUGGUCUGAGAGGAUGAUCAGCCACACUGGGACUGAGACACGGCCCAGACUCCUACGGGAGGCAGCAGUGGGGAAUAUUGGACAAUGGGCGCAAGCCUGAUCCAGCAAUGCCGCGUGAGUGAUGAAGGCCUUAGGGUUGUAAAGCUCUUUCACCGGGGGAAGAUAAUGACGGUACCCGGAGAAGAAGCCCCGGCUAACUCCGUGCCAGCAGCCGCGGUAAU
RNAcentral lists this ribosomal RNA (451 nucleotides) under uncultured bacterium. RNAcentral's name for it is "bacterial SSU rRNA". It matches the Rfam family "Bacterial small subunit ribosomal RNA", at positions 29 to 524 of the family's 1533-position model. The record is from RNAcentral.